This 17-nucleotide microRNA is filed under the name Plutella xylostella (diamondback moth). RNAcentral describes it as "pxy-miR-8499c". Lineage: Eukaryota; Metazoa; Arthropoda; Insecta; Lepidoptera; Plutellidae. The record is from miRBase by way of RNAcentral.
UCGUUCCUGGGGGGGUG